Molecule: long non-coding RNA, 2064 nt
Organism: Lynx canadensis (Canada lynx)
Lineage: Eukaryota; Metazoa; Chordata; Mammalia; Carnivora; Felidae
Exons: 4
Source: RefSeq, a predicted model, not a curated record
UCUCCGCCCCCCUCCCUACUCACUCUCUCUGUCUCUCUCUAAAAAUACAUAAAUAAAUAAACUUAAAAUAAUACCCAUUAAUAGCUCACCUCCUCUGACACCCUUCCAUUUAAUACUCAAAAAGGAAUCAGCUUGCAUUGCUGUGCACCCACUUUGAUGGUGGGUCUCCAGUAAGGUGGCUAACUUUGUUUGCAAAUGGAGAAAAUGCCUAUCGUGGCGGGUUGCUCCAAGACCCAAAUAUAAAAAAUAUCAAAAAACACCGAGAAAAAAGUCCAGCAUGUGGCAGACUCUUGAUCAGCCAUACCUUGAGUUGCGCUGCUCUGGAGAAUAAAGAAGAUACGGUGAACCGACAGGAGGCAAAGUUGAUGGAGAGAGCUCAUCAGCAGGAGGGGGCAAAGCUCAUGGUCUAGGUGGCUUUUAAAUUCUCCUCUCUGGGAUAUCAGGAAAGUCUGACAGUAUGAAGAUGCCCCUUGCAGAGAGCCUGGUCACCACCACGAUACCCUAUAAGGCUGUCGGUCCAACCGCACCCAUGAAAGUUGCCAUCUCGUCAAGGAAACAGGCCUGGAUGCGACAGGCCUGCGGAGGAGUCUUGGGUCCUGGUUGACACUCACCGGUGGCCGGUUCGCGAAGGUUCCUGCCAAUGGGGCCCGGGUCAGCGAGAAGAGGGACGACGUCCACCCGGUUCCCGCUGGGGCUGUUGGAAUCUCGGAGUCUGGGGACAGCAGUGCCGCCUCCUCACCCAGAAGACCCCCGACGCCCGAUCCUGGGGUGAAGGGCCCACGCCGUCCGGUCGAGGCCCUUCGCCGCCGUGUGUCAGCGGCACCCACGGGGUGGGUUCUCCCCGCCUCACGCUCUGGAAGCUGGAUCCUCAGGCCAGAUGCAGCAAAGCCACUUAAGCAACUGCUCUGCUCCCAGGCAGCUUUGAAAGCAUGGGAGCUGGAUUCCGAGCGUUCCCUGGUAUUUAUCUCUGGCUAACGAAGAUGCUUUAAUGACUAUUAGUAGACACGUUAUGACAACAACUCUGAACUUGAUGAAUCACGUAGACUGUUUGCCGGGGCUUUUCACACACUGCUCUGAACAAUACCGAGUCCUUCCCAGACGUCACUUUAAAUACCUUUAGCUUUCUCCGGGAUGUCACGGAAAGCAUGUCUUUAAUAAAUGUUCGGGUCUCACGACUAUAUUCUGCUGGGACAAGCCAGAUGCUUCUUUGCUUCUGUCCCUUCGCAGAUGUUUUGAACGAGAAACCAGAGUUGAUGCUAAACCUUAGGGAAGUAAAGCCUGUGAGGUAUAACCAGAUAAGGUAUAGCGUUGAAGAGAUUAUUUACUCUGAUUUUUUUUUCUAAGGCAAGGUUACGCUGUAGCUUUAUAAUUUCCAGGGGAUGUAGAAAGUUCCAAGGACAUCCUGUUAAGUGUUAUUAUUACGGUCUCCAGAUGAGAAAACUCAGGACCUUCUUGUUAAAGGAAGCAUAGCCUGUCCCUGGCAGAGAUGGGGUGAGGUCAUGUGAUAACCCAGUGGUCCGCUCAUCAAAACCCAGCGGAUUGUGACUCUAUCCUCACUGUGAUGAGACCAAGAUCCAGCACCCUCUCAGCCUGGCCCAAUAGGGACAGAGGGAUGGGCUGUAAGGAUCUGGGUACGAUCAUCGUAGAAACAUCACGGUCGUCACGGCAAAGUCUCCCACACGAGCAUUUUCCUGAGCUGGAUAUUUUUUUAAUCUGCUGUUUUUCAUCUUUACCGCUUUCUUAACUCAGUAGCUUUCCCUGCCUUUUCGACUCGAGCGACUUUUGCGGUUAGAUCAUGAGAGGUGGCAAAAAAGAAAACUAGGAAUUAACUACGGAGGCCCCAAAAUUGCAGUCCUCUAGAUUCAAAUACCUGCAUACGCAUGCGUGUGUGCACGAAUUAACAAGUCAGUGACAGGGAGGUCACUUGUUUAUCUUCGUACAAAUCUUCACAGUGUGUUGGCGAUGAAAGCUUAAGCACAAAUGGCGCAUUUAGGGGCAUCGGGGUGUGGGAUCUCAGUGAGCCUGCAUGGUUGGUGUGAGAUUUGGGGGUGUUUGACAGCAACA